CCAAUAGCGUAUUUUAAAGUUGUUGCAGUUAAAAAGCUCGUAGUUGAAUUUCGGGGUCAGCAAGUUGGUCGUGCCACCGGUAUGUACUGGCUUUGCUGAUUCCUCCUUCUUGUAGAACCGUAAUGCCAUUAAUUUGGUGUUGCGGGAAAACAGGACUGUUACUUUGAAAAAAUUAGAGUGUUUAAAGCAGGCUAACGCUUGAAUACAUUAGCAUGGAAUAAUGAAAUAGGACGACGAUCCUAUUUUGUUGGUUUCUAGGAUUGACGUAAUGAUUAAUAGGGAUAGUUGGGGGCAUUAGUAUUCAAUUGUCAGAGGUGAAAUUCUUGGAUUUAUUGAAGACUGACUACUGCGAAAGCAUUUGCCAAGGAUGUUUUCAUUAAUCAAGAACGAAAGUUAGGGGAUCGAAGACGAUCAGAUACCGUCGUAGUCUUAACCAUAAACUAUGCCGACUAGGGAUCGGAUGAUGCUAAUUUUAUAAUGACUCAUUCGGCGCCUUACG
Molecule: ribosomal RNA, 499 nt
Filed under: uncultured Glomeromycotina
Lineage: Eukaryota; Fungi; Glomeromycota
Description: partial small subunit ribosomal RNA
Rfam family: Eukaryotic small subunit ribosomal RNA
Source: RNAcentral